RNAcentral lists this unclassified non-coding RNA (236 nucleotides) under plant metagenome. RNAcentral describes it as "partial contains small subunit ribosomal RNA, internal transcribed spacer 1, and 5.8S ribosomal RNA". The record is from RNAcentral.
UCUCCGUUGGUGAACCAGCGGAGGGAUCAUUACCGAGUUGUACCAACUCCCAAACCCCUGUGAACAUACCGCACGUUGCUUCGGCGGACCGCCCCGGCGCCCGACCCCCCCGGGGGGACGGCCCGGACUCAGGCGCCCGCCGGGGGACCCAAACUCUUGUAUCUUUUUUAUAGCAUGUCUGAGUGGAAUCAUAAACAAAUGAAUCAAAACUUUCAACAACGGAUCUCUCGGUUCUG